Molecule: ribosomal RNA, 497 nt
Filed under: uncultured bacterium
Lineage: Bacteria
Description: partial 16S ribosomal RNA
Rfam family: Bacterial small subunit ribosomal RNA
Source: RNAcentral
GAUGAACGCUGGCGGCGUGCCUAAUACAUGCGAGUCGAGCGAACAGAUGAGGAGCUUGCUCCUCUGACGUUAGCGGCGGACGGGUGAGUAACACGUGGAUAACCUACCUAUAAGACUGGGAUAACUUCGGGAAACCGGAGCUAAUACCGGAUAAUAUAUUGAACCGCAUGGUUCAAUAGUGAAAGACGGUUUUGCUGUCACUUAUAGAUGGAUCCGCGCCGCAUUAGCUAGUUGGUAAGGUAACGGCUUACCAAGGCAACGAUGCGUAGCCGACCUGAGAGGGUGAUCGGCCACACUGGAACUGAGACACGGUCCAGACUCCUACGGGAGGCAGCAGUAGGGAAUCUUCCGCAAUGGGCGAAAGCUUGACGGAGCAACGCCGCGUGAGUGAUGAAGGUCUUCGGAUCGUAAAACUCUGUUAUUAGGGAAGAACAGAUGUGUAAGUAACUGUGCACGUCUUGACGGUACCUAAUCAGAAAGCCACGGCUAACUACGUG